Molecule: ribosomal RNA, 822 nt
Filed under: Spooneromyces laeticolor
Lineage: Eukaryota; Fungi; Ascomycota; Pezizomycetes; Pezizales; Pyronemataceae
Description: eukaryotic LSU rRNA
Rfam family: Eukaryotic large subunit ribosomal RNA
Source: RNAcentral
CAACAGGGAUUGCCUUAGUAACUGCGAGUGAAGCGGCAAAAGCUCAAAUUUGAAAUCUAACGUCUUUGGCGUUCGAGUUGUAAUUUGGAGGGGCAUCUUCGGAGUUGGCGCCGUCCUAAGUUCCUUGGAACAGGACGUCAUAGAGGGUGAGAAUCCCGUGCCUGGAUGGCUGUCCAUCUCCAUGUGAAGUGUCUCCGACGAGUCGAGUUGUUUGGGAAUGCAGCUCAAAAUGGGUGGUAAAUUUCAUCUAAAGCUAAAUAUUGGCGAGAGACCGAUAGCGCACAAGUAGAGUGAUCGAAAGAUGAAAAGCACUUUGAAAAGAGAGUUAAAAAGUACGUGAAAUUGUUGAAAGGGAAGCGCUUGAGACCAGACUCAAUCUUUGGUGAUCAGCUGUGCUUCUGUACAGUGCACUUGCCUUUGAUUGGGCCAGCAUCGGUUCUGACGGCGGGAUAAAAGGUUGAGGAAUGUGGCUCUCUUCGGGGAGUGUUAUAGCCUCAGUCAUAAUGCCGCCAGUUGGGACCGAGGACCGCGCUUCGGCUAGGAUGCUGGCGUAAUGGUCUUAAGCGACCCGUCUUGAAACACGGACCAAGGAGUCUAACAUCUAUGCGAGUGUUCGGGUGGAAAACCCUUGCGCGUAAUUAAAGUGAACGGAGGUGGGAACCCCUCGGGGUGCACCAUCGACCGAUCCUGAUGUCUUCGGAAGGAUUUGAGUAAGAGCAUAGCUGUUGGGACCCGAAAGAUGGUGAACUAUGCCUGAAUAGGGUGAAGCCAGAGGAAACUCUGGUGGAGGCUCGCAGCGGUUCUGACGUGCAAAUCGAUCGU